CCUGCUUCUGGAUAUCAAGAUCCAAGGUGUAAUCUUGAUGGGAUGAGGUCUCCAAUUCCAUGGUUGGAUGGCCCCGUAAUUUCAGAUGCUAGGCCAGUUGCAAGCAACACCUUUAAUUCUUCAAUUUCAAACGUCAAUAAUGUUGCAUCUUCCAGAAAUCAGAACUACCGUCCGAAUUCUCAUUACAUGGUAUGCAUGAGUUGCCUUAUCUGCUUUUUAAUUAUGGUUUUUGUAUCAUGAAUCAAUUAGAAUAAUAUAAUGCCAGAUAUUUGAUUAUGUUGACUUGUGUUGUGAGAAAGUGUUGAUAUGAAUAAAUGUUACCGUUCCUUCACAAUUGAUAUUAAUUUGAGCCUCUGCUGUUGUGAUGAAUGUUUUGUGGUGGACAAAAAUUGAUGGUGGACAAAAGUUGAUGUUAGAUCAUUUUAUGCACAGAAAUAUUCAACACUUUAUUUAGCUAUCUCUGAAAGUUUUCUUUUCUCUUCUCCACAGGGUUUGCACCAUCCUAGACCGAUGUCUGGCAUGGGCGCUGCACAGGGUUUCAUGAAUAUGAAUAGGAUGUAUCCUAACAAGUUAUACGGUCAGUAUGGUAACACAUUUAGAUCUGGGGUGGGGUUUGGCUCCAAUGGCUAUGAUUUGCGAACAAAUGGUCGUGGAUGGUUGUCUGUUGAUGGGAAGUAUAAAUCCAGGGGACGUGGCAAUGGUUAUUUUGGUUAUGGUAAUGAGAACAUGGAUGGAUUGAAUGAGCUUAAUAGGGGACCUAGAGCCAAGGGAGCAAAAAACCAAAAGGGUUCAGCACCCAAUGCUUUACCAGUCAAAGAGCAGAAUGUGCUAACAAAUGGGACCGCUGAGGAUGAGAAUGAUAAGAUUAGUUUGAGUCCUGACAGAGAUGAAUACAAUAAAGCAGAUUUCCCAGAAGAGUACACUGAUGCUAAAUUCUUUGUCAUCAAAUCGUACAGUGAGGAUGAUGUCCAUAAAAGUAUCAAGUACAGUGUUUGGGCCAGCACCCCCAAUGGCAACAAGAAGCUUGAUGCUGCUUACCAGGAGGCUCAACAGAAGUCUCGCAGCUGCCCUGUAUUU
This 1077-nucleotide long non-coding RNA is filed under the name Citrus sinensis (sweet orange). RNAcentral describes it as "long non-coding RNA (CSIN_LNC003723)". Lineage: Eukaryota; Viridiplantae; Streptophyta; Magnoliopsida; Sapindales; Rutaceae. The record is from RNAcentral.